CUGGUUGGUGGGGUAAGAGCUCACCAAGGCGACGAUCGGUAGCUGGUCUGAGAGGACGAUCAGCCACACUGGGAUUGAGAACGGCCCAGACUCCUACGGGGGGCAGCAGUGAGGAAUUUUCCGCAAUGGUCGCAAGACUGACGGAGCAACGCCGCGUGCAGGAGGACGCUUUUCGGAGUGUAAACUGCUUUUCUGUGGGACGAGGAUGGACGGUACCACAGGAAGAAGCCCCGGCUAACUACGUGCCAGCAGCCGCGGUAAUACGUAGGGGGCGAGCGUUGUCCGGAGUUACUGGGCGUAAAGGGCACGCAGGCGGUGCGGCGCGUUUCGCGUGACAGCGGAGGGCUUAACUCUCCGAGGAUGCGAAAGACGGCGGCACUUGAGGGCCAGAGAGGGACACGGAAUUCCGGGUGGAGUGGUGAAAUGCGUAGAGAUCCGGAGGAACACCGAAGGCGAAGGCAGUGUCCUGGCUGGUGACUGACGCUGAGGUGCGAAAGCUAGGGGAGCGAACGGGAUUAGAUACCCCGGUAGUCCUAGCCGUAAACGAUGACCACCAGGUGUGGGAGGUAUCGACCCCUUCCGUGCCGGAGUUAACACACUAGGUGGUCCGCCUGGGGAGUACGGUCGCAAGAUUAAAACUCAAAGGAAUUGACG
This 654-nucleotide ribosomal RNA is filed under the name uncultured bacterium. RNAcentral describes it as "SSU rRNA". It matches the Rfam family "Bacterial small subunit ribosomal RNA", at positions 245 to 915 of the family's 1533-position model. The record is from RNAcentral.